CUGAUGCCAGAAGCCACAUCCGAAAUGUUGCACAGCAAAAUACCAGUUAAAUGAAGAUCAAAUCUGAAAGAAUUAUUCAUACUUCCUGUCUCUACUGUCUUCAUUCUCAUUCACUCCUGACUGCAAUAAAGUGAAGACUGAUCUGGGCAACCCUGGGCCGGUUAGCAAACGACUCCAAGCCUCGGUUUCUUCGCUGUAACUUCCACAUGAGGUCAUGCAAGAAAAGCAUCUACCAUAGUCCCUGAAUAAUUAAUAAAAAGAAUGAAAAAAAUUCUAUAAAAAGAAGAAGAAGAAGAA
This is a long non-coding RNA of Panthera uncia (snow leopard), 297 nucleotides long. RefSeq lists it as uncharacterized. The transcript has 3 exons. NCBI's taxonomy places the organism in Eukaryota, Metazoa, Chordata, Mammalia, Carnivora, Felidae. The record is from RefSeq and is a predicted model, not a curated record.